GCAUGCUCAGUCGGGUACCCCGGAUAGCAGCUUUAGAGAAACGUGUAGGAAGGGAUUGUCAUGUCAGGGCGUCAAGGAGGAAAGAAGAAACCGUUAAAACAGCCGAAGAAAAAACAAGAUGGAGACGAGGAGGAAGAUCGAGACUUUAAACAAAAGCAGAAGGAAGACCAGAAGAAACUGGCUGAAAUGAAGGCAAAAGCAGCUCAGAAAGGACCUCUAGUGACUGGAGGCAUCAAGAAGAGCGGCAAGAAAUAACAACAAGCAUGUGUCCCAUGACGAUUACUGGCAAUAGAAUCCGAUCACAUUCAACUAAAUUUCACUUCAUUGGUAAAAUCACUAGACUAGAGAUCUUGUAGUCAAAGUUUGUACUCAUGAUCUACAUCUAGAGCAUGUCAAUAGACGACGUUAUGUUAUGUUGGUAGAGAAUGUGAUGUCAGACGUUUAUCACA
Long non-coding RNA from Corticium candelabrum, 449 nucleotides. RefSeq lists it as uncharacterized. Lineage: Eukaryota; Metazoa; Porifera; Homoscleromorpha; Homosclerophorida; Plakinidae. The transcript is spliced from 4 exons. The record is from RefSeq and is a predicted model, not a curated record.